UCCAAUCAAGAAGGCACACAAGCGCCAUUAUAACGCAAAGGCCCUAUGUGCUCAACGCUCUCCUAUUGGCCUUACCCAUACCAACCACUGGGUGGUAUCCUUCAGCACUUCUUUAUGUCCGCAUAACGAACGGCCUCUCUUUUAGCAAUUUUUGCCCCGUGUGCACCAUGGCUCUACGUGCAGGGGGCAUUCUUCUUGAUGACAACGCCCAGUCUCACACGGCGAAUUUGACGGCAGCAACACUGGCCAAAAUGCGUCGAGAGGUUUUACCCAAUUACAGCCCAGAUUUAACCCAAAGCGACUACACUUGUUUGGAGGAAAGACGUUCCACACAGAUGAAGCCUUCCAGGAAGAUGUCCUGCAGUGGCCACGACAGCAGCUCCCUUCUUCCUCUGCCAAAGGCAUCAGAGUUGCCACAGCGAUGGCAGCUGUGUCCAGAUGCUCACGAAACUGCCUGUGAUCUACGACAUGAGGAGAGGACAGCAGGAAGGAGUGGGAUACAGGGCGUUAACAUACGUCCUGGGCCAACUUCAGGAGGAAAUGUGCCGACAUCCUUCUCGAAAUUCUAUCGGAAAACCGAGGGAAUACCCCAGACAACAGAAUUCGCGACUGAAAUCCAUCACAUCCCAAUGUUCAGCAUGACCUCGGCGCUUCCACCAAUGAGCAGGUGCUCUGUCCGGUCAUGCCACUGGGCGUACCGAAGGUGUAAUGUAGCAGCAUGCCUACACCUUUUUUGUCGUCGAACGUGUCCGGCUCUUCCAUUAUAAUGCGUAAUUCAUUAUA
This is a long non-coding RNA of Ornithodoros turicata, 783 nucleotides long. RefSeq lists it as uncharacterized. The transcript has 3 exons. The record is from RefSeq and is a predicted model, not a curated record. NCBI's taxonomy places the organism in Eukaryota, Metazoa, Arthropoda, Arachnida, Ixodida, Argasidae.